CUUUUAGAAAAGUUGCUAUAGUUUAUACUUCGGAGCAACUUUCCUGGUAGAAAAGUUGUUCAGAGUCAGAAUAAAAAACACAAAUCAUAGUAAAACCAAUAGAUCCCUCGCAAAACUUCGAAUUUAAAAAAAAAGAGCUGAUACUACUGGGGAUGGGAGUGGCCACUGUUGUAGGUGAGAAAUUGGGAAGGUGGGAUAUAUAAGAUUAUUUAAUUUAUAUCUGUAAGCAACGAUAAACCAUUGCUUGACGAAAGAAGAUUCCGAG
Cinara cedri is the source of this 265-nucleotide non-coding RNA. The record is from the annotation of a GenBank genome assembly. Lineage: Eukaryota; Metazoa; Arthropoda; Insecta; Hemiptera; Aphididae.